GGGUUGUGAGGUUAAGUGACUAAGCGUACACGGUGGAUGCCUAGGCAGUCAGAGGCGAUGAAGGGCGUGCUAAUCUGCGAAAAGCGUCGGUAAGGUGAUAUGAACCGUUAUAACCGGCGAUACCCGAAUGGGGAAACCCAGUGUGUUUCGACACACUAUCAUGUCAUGAAUACAUAGUGGCAUGAGGCGAACCGGGGGAACUGAAACAUCUAAGUACCCCGAGGAAAAGAAAUCAACCGAGAUUCCCCCAGUAGCGGCGAGCGAACGGGGAGGAGCCCAGAACCUGAAUCGGCUUGUGUGUUAGUGGAAGCGUCUGGAAAGUCGCGCAGCAAAGGGUGAUAGCCCCGUACACUAAAAUGCACAGGUCGUGAGUUCGAUGAGUAGGGCGGGACACGUGACAUCCUGUCUGAAUAUGGGGGGACCAUCCUCCAAGGCUAAAUACUCCUGACUGACCGAUAGUGAACCAGUACCGUGAGGGAAAGGCGAAAAGAACCCCGGCGAGGGGAGUGAAAUAGAACCUGAAACCGUGUACGUACAAGCAGUGGGAGCACCUUCGUGGUGUGACUGCGUACCUUUUGUAUAAUGGGUCAGCGACUUAUAUUUUGUAGCAAGGUUAACCGUAUAGGGGAGCCGUAGGGAAACCGAGUCUUAACUGGGCGAAUAGUUGCAAGGUAUAGACCCGAAACCCGGUGAUCUAGCCAUGGGCAGGUUGAAGGUUGGGUAACACUAACUGGAGGACCGAACCGACUAAUGUUGAAAAAUUAGCGGAUGACUUGUGGCUGGGGGUGAAAGGCCAAUCAAACCGGGAGAUAGCUGGUUCUCCCCGAAAGCUAUUUAGGUAGCGCCUCGUGAACUCAUCUUCGGGGGUAGAGCACUGUUUCGGCUAGGGGGCCAUCCCGGCUUACCAAACCGAUGCAAACUCCGAAUACCGAAGAAUGUUAUCACGGGAGACACACGGCGGGUGCUAACGUCCGUCGUGAAGAGGGAAACAACCCAGACCGCCAGCUAAGGUCCCAAAGUCAUGGUUAAGUGGGAAACGAUGUGGGAAGGCAUAGACAGCCAGGAUGUUGGCUUAGAAGCAGCCAUCAUUUAAAGAAAGCGUAAUAGCUCACUGGUCGAGUCGGCCUGCGCGGAAGAUGUAACGGGGCUAAACCAUGCACCGAAGCUGCGGCAGCGACGCUUAGGCGUUGUUGGGUAGGGGAGCGUUCUGUAAGCCGUUGAAGGUGGCCUGUGAGGGUUGCUGGAGGUAUCAGAAGUGCGAAUGCUGACAUAAGUAACGAUAAAGCGGGUGAAAAGCCCGCUCGCCGGAAGACCAAGGGUUCCUGUCCAACGUUAAUCGGGGCAGGGUGAGUCGACCCCUAAGGCGAGGCUGAAAAGCGUAGUCGAUGGGAAACAGGUUAAUAUUCCUGUACUUGGUGUUACUGCGAAGGGGGGACGGAGAAGGCUAGGCUAGCCGGGCGACGGUUGUCCCGGUUUAAGCGUGUAGGGGGUGUGACCUGGUAAAUCCGGUUGCAUACUAACCCUGAGGCGUGAUGACGAUGCACUACGGUGCAGAAGUAGUUGAUGCCCUGCUUCCAGGAAAAUCCUCUAAGCAUCAGGUAACAUUAAAUCGUACCCCAAACCGACACAGGUGGUCAGGUAGAGAAUACCAAGGCGCUUGAGAGAACUCGGGUGAAGGAACUAGGCAAAAUGGUGCCGUAACUUCGGGAGAAGGCACGCUGGCAUGUAGGUGAAGUCCCUCGCGGAUGGAGCUGAAGCCAGUCGAAGAUACCAGCUGGCUGCAACUGUUUAAUAAAAACACAGCACUGUGCAAACACGAAAGUGGACGUAUACGGUGUGACGCCUGCCCGGUGCUGGAAGGUUAAUUGAUGGGGUCAGCCGCAAGGCGAAGCUCUUGAUCGAAGCCCCAGUAAACGGCGGCCGUAACUAUAACGGUCCUAAGGUAGCGAAAUUCCUUGUCGGGUAAGUUCCGACCUGCACGAAUGGCGUAAUGAUGGCCAGGCUGUCUCCACCCGAGACUCAGUGAAAUUGAACUCGCUGUGAAGAUGCAGUGUACCCGCGGCAAGACGGAAAGACCCCGUGAACCUUUACUAUAGCUUGACACUGAACAUUGAGCCUUGAUGUGUAGGAUAGGUGGGAGGCUUUGAAGCGUGGACGCCAGUCUGCGUGGAGCCAUCCUUGAAAUACCACCCUUUAAUGUUUGAUGUUCUAACUCGGCCCC
This 2221-nucleotide ribosomal RNA is filed under the name Serratia marcescens. RNAcentral describes it as "partial 23S ribosomal RNA". It matches the Rfam family "Bacterial large subunit ribosomal RNA", at positions 1 to 2234 of the family's 2925-position model. Lineage: Bacteria; Pseudomonadati; Pseudomonadota; Gammaproteobacteria; Enterobacterales; Yersiniaceae. The record is from RNAcentral.